Molecule: ribosomal RNA, 2640 nt
Filed under: Salmonella enterica subsp. enterica serovar Enteritidis
Lineage: Bacteria; Pseudomonadati; Pseudomonadota; Gammaproteobacteria; Enterobacterales; Enterobacteriaceae
Description: partial 23S ribosomal RNA
Rfam family: Bacterial large subunit ribosomal RNA
Source: RNAcentral
ACUCGUCACACUAUCAUUAACUGAAUCCAUAGGUUAAUGAGGCGAACCGGGGGAACUGAAACAUCUAAGUACCCCGAGGAAAAGAAAUCAACCGAGAUUCCCCCAGUAGCGGCGAGCGAACGGGGAGGAGCCCAGAGCCUGAAUCAGCAUGUGUGUUAGUGGAAGCGUCUGGAAAGGCGCGCGAUACAGGGUGACAGCCCCGUACACAAAAGCGCAUGUGCUGUGAGCUCGAUGAGUAGGGCGGGACACGUGGUAUCCUGUCUGAAUAUGGGGGGACCAUCCUCCAAGGCUAAAUACUCCUGACUGACCGAUAGUGAACCAGUACCGUGAGGGAAAGGCGAAAAGAACCCCGGCGAGGGGAGUGAAAAAGAACCUGAAACCGUGUACGUACAAGCAGUGGGAGCACCCUUUGGGUGUGACUGCGUACCUUUUGUAUAAUGGGUCAGCGACUUAUAUUCUGUAGCAAGGUUAACCGAAUAGGGGAGCCGGAGGGAAACCGAGUCUUAACCGGGCGUUAAGUUGCAGGGUAUAGACCCGAAACCCGGUGAUCUAGCCAUGGGCAGGUUGAAGGUUGGGUAACACUAACUGGAGGACCGAACCGACUAAUGUUGAAAAAUUAGCGGAUGACCUGUGGCUGGGGGUGAAAGGCCAAUCAAACCGGGAGAUAGCUGGUUCUCCCCGAAAGCUAUUUAGGUAGCGCCUCGUGAAUUCAUCUCCGGGGGUAGAGCACUGUUUCGGCUAGGGGGCCAUCCCGGCUUACCAACCCGAUGCAAACUGCGAAUACCGGAGAAUGUUAUCACGGGAGACACACGGCGGGUGCUAACGUCCGUCGUGAAGAGGGAAACAACCCAGACCGCCAGCUAAGGUCCCAAAGUCAUGGUUAAGUGGGAAACGAUGUGGGAAGGCCCAGACAGCCAGGAUGUUGGCUUAGAAGCAGCCAUCAUUUAAAGAAAGCGUAAUAGCUCACUGGUCGAGUCGGCCUGCGCGGAAGAUGUAACGGGGCUAAACCAUGCACCGAAGCUGCGGCAGCGACACUGUGUGUUGUUGGGUAGGGGAGCGUUCUGUAAGCCUGUGAAGGUGUGUCGUGAGGCAUGCUGGAGGUAUCAGAAGUGCGAAUGCUGACAUAAGUAACGAUAAAGCGGGUGAAAAGCCCGCUCGCCGGAAGACCAAGGGUUCCUGUCCAACGUUAAUCGGGGCAGGGUGAGUCGACCCCUAAGGCGAGGCCGAAAGGCGUAGUCGAUGGGAAACGGGUUAAUAUUCCCGUACUUGGUGUUACUGCGAAGGGGGGACGGAGAAGGCUAUGUUGGCCGGGCGACGGUUGUCCCGGUUUAAGCGUGUAGGUGUGUGUUCCAGGUAAAUCCGGUUCACUUUAACACUGAGGCGUGACGACGAGGCACUACGGUGCUGAAGCAACAAAUGCCCUGCUUCCAGGAAAAGCCUCUAAGCAUCAGGUAACAUCAAAUCGUACCCCAAACCGACACAGGUGGUCAGGUAGAGAAUACCAAGGCGCUUGAGAGAACUCGGGUGAAGGAACUAGGCAAAAUGGUGCCGUAACUUCGGGAGAAGGCACGCUGACACGUAGGUGAAGUGAUUUACUCAUGGAGCUGAAGUCAGUCGAAGAUACCAGCUGGCUGCAACUGUUUAUUAAAAACACAGCACUGUGCAAACACGAAAGUGGACGUAUACGGUGUGACGCCUGCCCGGUGCCGGAAGGUUAAUUGAUGGGGUCAGCGCAAGCGAAGCUCCUGAUCGAAGCCCCGGUAAACGGCGGCCGUAACUAUAACGGUCCUAAGGUAGCGAAAUUCCUUGUCGGGUAAGUUCCGACCUGCACGAAUGGCGUAAUGAUGGCCAGGCUGUCUCCACCCGAGACUCAGUGAAAUUGAACUCGCUGUGAAGAUGCAGUGUACCCGCGGCAAGACGGAAAGACCCCGUGAACCUUUACUAUAGCUUGACACUGAACAUUGAGCCUUGAUGUGUAGGAUAGGUGGGAGGCUUUGAAGUGUGGACGCCAGUCUGCAUGGAGCCGACCUUGAAAUACCACCCUUUAAUGUUUGAUGUUCUAACGUGGACCCGUUACCCGGGUUGCGGACAGUGUCUGGUGGGUAGUUUGACUGGGGCGGUCUCCUCCUAAAGAGUAACGGAGGAGCACGAAGGUUGGCUAAUCCUGGUCGGACAUCAGGAGGUUAGUGCAAUGGCAUAAGCCAGCUUGACUGCGAGCGUGACGGCGCGAGCAGGUGCGAAAGCAGGUCAUAGUGAUCCGGUGGUUCUGAAUGGAAGGGCCAUCGCUCAACGGAUAAAAGGUACUCCGGGGAUAACAGGCUGAUACCGCCCAAGAGUUCAUAUCGACGGCGGUGUUUGGCACCUCGAUGUCGGCUCAUCACAUCCUGGGGCUGAAGUAGGUCCCAAGGGUAUGGCUGUUCGCCAUUUAAAGUGGUACGCGAGCUGGGUUUAGAACGUCGUGAGACAGUUCGGUCCCUAUCUGCCGUGGGCGCUGGAGAACUGAGGGGGGCUGCUCCUAGUACGAGAGGACCGGAGUGGACGCAUCACUGGUGUUCGGGUUGUCAUGCCAAUGGCACUGCCCGGUAGCUAAAUGCGGAAGAGAUAAGUGCUGAAAGCAUCUAAGCACGAAACUUGCCCCGA